GAGGUGUUUACCAAUUAAAAUGAAAAUUAAAGCACAUCGAGUUGGUAGAACUGCGAGGGGUCGUGGCGGGAUGCGGAUCUGUCACUCAUGGUCCACCUCGGCGUCGGACAAACAGAAGAAGUGAGGAAUAUGUUUAGCAUUUCACAGCAGCGGUCACGGUGAUGAUGAGGCGAGCACCAGUGAUCUCCUUUCUCCUGCCCGCUCCGUGUGUCUGCUGGGCGGCGAUCAAGCGGGCAGGGCAGCGCUUUUCACGAGCGGAGAUAGCUACUACUUUUUUUUUUCGUAUCUCUGUUAUGCUAUUACACCAUUAAUUUAUACUAGCAUAUACUGUAUAUCAAGCGCUCCCUGAACGCAGUCUCUGGCUUACUGCCAGUCAAGCGCAAGCACGCUGCACCCGUCUAGAGUGAUAACGACGCUGAUCUGAUCAAGUCUUUCCGAGUCACAGGGCUCAAGUCCAAGUCAAGUCUCGAGUCAUUGCUGUCAAAGUCUAAGUCGAGUCUCAAGUCUUCUUUAAUUAUGUCGAGUCGAGUCGCAAGUCAUCAAAUUUGGGACUGGAGUCCGAGUCAAGUCUCGAGUCAUGUGACUCGAGUCCACACCCCUGGAAAUUACUAACUGCGAGUGUUUUUGUCAGGUUUACAGGGUUAAAUUCGUGAGGUGUAGAGAUGCAACGUAACCUGCGUGAAAGUUUCUAAUGCGGGUUCGAUUUCCUGAAAUAAGAUCCUCUGGCCUUCAUUCCCGCCGAGGCCUGGUUUUACUACGAGUCUGAAGCAGACACAUUCGGGCGGUUUUCUACUCAGAGGAGAGAAUUCAUCAAAUGAAUUGGCCCAGACUUCUGCAGUGUCAAGUGAAGGAAGCUCCUCUCAUAAGAUUGCAAACCUGGAGUCUGAUGAGCGUCAGUGAUGGAAGCCCUUCAAGAAAGGAGCAGAAUGCUGAAGAUGAAGCCAGAAUUAAGCCAAGUUCCUGGCUUUUCCCAAGACCUUCAAGGACACGAUUGACCUCGGAAUCAGCUGUAAAGGAGGAUGAAACCAAUGAUUAAGAAUGGGACAGUGAUAUUGCAUCAAUUUGUCUCCUUCAUUUGAUUCCACCAUCACCACAAGGCUGCAAGGGACCUGGAGAAAUGUCCUCCUAUCAAGCUGAAAAAUAUCUUCAAAAAGGCACUAAUAAGAACACCUUGAUUGCAUAGAAGAGACCACACAGCCAUACCUGCUCGCUGAUGGGACAACGAGGAACAGCAUUCAUGGAUGCUACACAACUGUCGACAAGUAUCUUGCUGCAGUCUUGUUCAAAGCUACCUGUCAUAUUUGUUAAUGUCUAGGUAAAUUUGAUGAUUUUAUGUGUUUUAUUAACUAUGUUAUGGUUCCGUGCAACACUUAAUGAAUGUGACUGACUAAUUAACCUCUACACAUCUGGUAUAUGCUUUAAAGUUGCCA
Molecule: long non-coding RNA, 1430 nt
Organism: Onychostoma macrolepis
Lineage: Eukaryota; Metazoa; Chordata; Actinopteri; Cypriniformes; Cyprinidae
Exons: 6
Source: RefSeq, a predicted model, not a curated record